GCCCGGCUAGCUCAGUUGGUAGAGCAUGAGACCCUUAAUCUCAAGGUUGUGGGUUCAAGUCCCAUGUUGGGCU
Molecule: non-coding RNA, 73 nt
Organism: Ceratotherium simum simum (southern white rhinoceros)
Lineage: Eukaryota; Metazoa; Chordata; Mammalia; Perissodactyla; Rhinocerotidae
Source: the annotation of a RefSeq genome assembly